CUAGCGACUUCAGAGUUUGAUCCUGGCUCAGGACAAACGCUGGCGGCGUGCUUAACACAUGCAAGUCGAGCGGACGGAGAACUUCGGUUCGAAGUUAGCGGCGGACGGGUGAGUAACGCGUGAACAAUCUGUCCCAGACAGGGGGAUAACAACCUGAAAAGGUUGCUAAUACCGCAUAAGACCACGGCCUCGCAUGAGGCUGGGGUAAAAGAUUUAUCGGUUUGGGGUGAGUUCGCGUCUGAUUAGCUAGUUGGUGAGGUAACGGCCCACCAAGGCGACGAUCAGUAGCCGAUCUGAGAGGAUGACCGGCCACAUUGGAACUGAGACACGGUCCAA
This 336-nucleotide ribosomal RNA is filed under the name uncultured bacterium. Its description in RNAcentral is "bacterial SSU rRNA". It matches the Rfam family "Bacterial small subunit ribosomal RNA", at positions 1 to 334 of the family's 1533-position model. The record is from RNAcentral.